This 979-nucleotide ribosomal RNA is filed under the name human gut metagenome. Its description in RNAcentral is "bacterial LSU rRNA". It matches the Rfam family "Bacterial large subunit ribosomal RNA", at positions 1945 to 2925 of the family's 2925-position model. The record is from RNAcentral.
ACGGUCCUAAGGUAGCGAAAUUCCUUGUCGGGUAAGUUCCGACCCGCACGAAAGGUGUAACGAUUUGGGCACUGUCUCAACGAGGGACCCGGUGAAAUUGAAAUACCUGUGAAGAUGCAGGUUACCCGCGACUGGACAGAAAGACCCCAUGGAGCUUUACUGUAACCUGACAUUGGGUUUUGAUACAUUACGUACAGGAUAGGUGGGAGGCAUGGAAAGCUGGACGCUAGUCUGGCUGGAGCCGACGUUGGGAUACCACCCUUGAUACAACGGAAUUCUAACCGAGAGAGUAACGAAAUCCGGGACAGUGUCAGGCGGGCAGUUUGACUGGGGCGGUCGCCUCCGAAAGAGUAACGGAGGCGCCCAAAGGUUCCCUCAGCGCGGCCGGAAAUCGCGCGAAGAGUGUAAAGGCAGAAGGGAGCUUGACUGCGAGUCAAACACGACGAGCAGGUACGAAAGUAGGGCUUAGUGAUCCGGUGGUACCGAGUGGAAGGGCCAUCGCUCAACGGAUAAAAGCUACCCUGGGGAUAACAGGCUAAUCUCUCCCAAGAGUCCAUAUCGACGGGGAGGUUUGGCACCUCGAUGUCGGCUCAUCACAUCCUGGGGCUGAAGUCGGUCCCAAGGGUUGGGCUGUUCGCCCAUUAAAGUGGUACGUGAGCUGGGUUCAGAACGUCGUGAGACAGUUCGGUCCCUAUCCAUCGCGGGCGCAAGAGAUUUGAAGGGGGCUGCUCCUAGUACGAGAGGACCGGAGUGGACGAACCGCUGGUGUACCAAUUAUCCCGCCAGGGGUACAGUUGGGUAGCUACGUUCGGAAAGGAUAAACGCUGAAAGCAUCUAAGCGUGAAACCAGCCUUAAGAUGAGAUCUCUCAUAGAGCAAUCUAGUAAGACACCUUAAAGAAGAUGAGGUUGAUAGGUCGGGAGUGUAAGUACAGCAAUGUAUUGAGCGGACCGAUACUAAUAUGUCGAGGGCUUGACUUA